Molecule: ribosomal RNA, 468 nt
Filed under: uncultured bacterium
Lineage: Bacteria
Description: partial 16S ribosomal RNA
Rfam family: Bacterial small subunit ribosomal RNA
Source: RNAcentral
GACGAACGCUGGCGGCGUGCUUAACACAUGCAAGUCGAACGGAAAGGCGCUGCGUUUGUGGGGUGCUCGAGUGGCGAACGGGGGAGUAACACGUGAGUAACCUGCCCUUGACUUUGGGAUAACUUCAGGAAACUGGGGCUAAUACCGGAUAGGAGCUCCUGCUGCAUGGUGGGGGUUGGAAAGUGUCGGCGGUUGGGGAUGGACUGGCGGGUUAUCAGCUUGUUGGGGGGGUAGUGACUGACCAAGGCUUUGACGGGUAGCCUGCCUGAGAGGGUGACCGGCGACAUUGGGACUGAGAUACGGCGCAGAAUCGUAUGGGCCGCAGCAGUGGGGAACAUUACACAACAGGGGGACGCCUGAUGCAGAAACGUCGCGUGCGGGAUACCCGCCUUUGAGUUGUAAACAGCUUUGGACUGUAAUGAAGCGUGCGUGACGGUAAUUAGUAAAGAAGCCCCGGCUAACUACGUG